Molecule: ribosomal RNA, 450 nt
Filed under: uncultured bacterium
Lineage: Bacteria
Description: partial 16S ribosomal RNA
Rfam family: Bacterial small subunit ribosomal RNA
Source: RNAcentral
GUGAGGAAUAUUGGGCAAUGGGCGAAAGCCUGACCCAGCCACACCGCGUGAGUGAUGAAGGCCUUCGGGUUGUAAAGCUCUGUGGGGAGGGAAGAAAAAGCGCAGGAGUAACUGCCUGUGUGUUGACGGUACCUCCUUAGCAAGCACCGGCUAACUCCGUGCCAGCAGCCGCGGUAAUACAGAGGGUGCAAACGUUGCUCGGAAUUACUGGGCGUAAAGCGCGUGUAGGCUGACAUGCAAGUCGGGUGUGAAAUCCCAGGGCUCAACCUUGGAGCUGCACUCGAAACUGCACGUCUUGAGUACUGGAGAGGGAAGCGGAAUUCCGGGUGUAGAGGUGAAAUUCGUAGAUAUCCGGAGGAACACCAGUGGCGAAGGCGGCUUCCUGGACAGUAACUGACGCUGAGACGCGAAAGCGUGGGGAGCAAACAGGAUUAGAAACCCCGGUAGUCC